UGGGGAAUCUUGCACAAUGGAGGAAACUCUGAUGCAGCGAUGCCGCGUGAGUGAAGAAGGCCUUUGGGUUGUAAAGCUCUUUUGUAGGGGAAGAUAAUGACUGUACCCUAAGAAUAAGGUCCGGCUAACUUCGUGCCAGCAGCCGCGGUAAUACGAAGGGACCUAGCGUAGUUCGGAAUUACUGGGCGUAAAGCGCGCGUAGGUCGUUGAGUUAGUUAAUUGUGAAAUCCCAAAGCUUAACUUUGGAACUGCAAUUAAAACUGCUCGACUAGAGUUUGAUAGAGGAAAGCGGAAUACAUAGUGUAGAGGUGAAAUUCGUAGAUAUUAUGUAGAACACCAGUUGCGAAGGCGGCUUUCUGGAUCAACACUGACGCUGAGGCGCGAAAGUAUGGGUAGCAAAGAGGAUUAGAUACCCUCGUAGUCCAUACCAUAAACGAUGAUUGCUAGAUGUUGGAAAUUUAUUUUCAGUAUCGCAGCUAACGCAUUAAGCAAUCCGCCUNNNGAGUACGACCGCAAGGUUA
Molecule: ribosomal RNA, 521 nt
Filed under: uncultured Alphaproteobacteria bacterium
Lineage: Bacteria; Pseudomonadati; Pseudomonadota; Alphaproteobacteria
Description: bacterial SSU rRNA
Rfam family: Bacterial small subunit ribosomal RNA
Source: RNAcentral